CUUAUUUUUUCUUCUUCUUUCA
This 22-nucleotide small RNA is filed under the name Arabidopsis thaliana (thale cress). Its description in RNAcentral is "ATSL247690". The record is from RNAcentral. Lineage: Eukaryota; Viridiplantae; Streptophyta; Magnoliopsida; Brassicales; Brassicaceae.